UCCGUAGGUGAACCUGCGGAGGGAUCAUUACCGAGUUUACAACUCCCAAACCCAAUGUGAACGUUACCAAACUGUUGCCUCGGCGGGAUCUCUGCCCCGGGUGCGUCGCAGCCCCGGACCAAGGCGCCCGCCGGAGGACCAACCAAAACUCUUUUUGUAUACCCCCUCGCGGGUUUUUUAUAAUCUGAGCCUUCUCGGCGCCUCUCGUAGGCGUUUCGAAAAUGAAUCAAAACUUUCAACAACGGAUCUCUUGGUUCUGGCAUCGAUGAAGAACGCAGCGAAAUGCGAUAAGUAAUGUGAAUUGCAGAAUUCAGUGAAUCAUCGAAUCUUUGAACGCACAUUGCGCCCGCCAGUAUUCUGGCGGGCAUGCCUGUCCGAGCGUCAUUUCAACCCUCGAACCCCUCCGGGGGGUCGGCGUUGGGGAUCGGCCCUGCCUCUUGGCGGUGGCCGUCUCCGAAAUACAGUGGCGGUCUCGCCGCAGCCUCUCCUGCGCAGUAGUUUGCACACUCGCAUCGGGAGCGCGGCGCGUCCACAGCCGUUAAACACCCAACUUCUGAAAUGUGACCUCGGAUCAGGUAGAAUACCCCCAAUUUU
RNAcentral lists this ribosomal RNA (594 nucleotides) under Trichoderma harzianum. RNAcentral describes it as "eukaryotic LSU rRNA". The stretch from base 231 to 384 matches the Rfam family "5.8S ribosomal RNA". Lineage: Eukaryota; Fungi; Ascomycota; Sordariomycetes; Hypocreales; Hypocreaceae. The record is from RNAcentral.